AGUCGAGUUUCCCGCAUGUGGGGAAAUCGCAGGGGUCAACACACCCCAAAGUGCAAUGGGUGAGCCUCGCCCUGGGAAAACCACCUGCUUGAUCAUGGUGUCUCCCCUGCCAGGUAAGUAUGCUCGCCUCCCCAACACACACCGUUCAGCCACACCGGACCUGCGCUCUCAACACACGGUCACUUCGCCGCCAGCGAUCGCGGGCCUCCCCGGACCCGCGCCCGAUUCCUGCGCUCCGCUCCCACCCGCGCAUCCGCGCUCCCUCCCACGCCGCGCGCCAAAUCCCUCGCGUUUCCGCAGCGGGUGCGGACCGGCAGCCCCUGCGCGCCCCUCAUCUGCAUAGACCACGCCCCCGGCAGGCACCCAGGGGUGACAUCACUCUCUUGCUGGGGGAGAACUGAAUGGAGUGUAGAAGGACCAGAGACAAAUCAUCUUGAAUUCUCUCCAAACCCUAAACAGCCGUGGGCUGCCCACCGCUUGGCCUAACAGCCUUGUAACUGGUUUUGAAACACCGUGAAGCUGACACUACGUGGGGACCUGGUAUUGGGGUGACCCAAGUCCGUGUUCCUGGUCCAGGGAUCCACUGUGCCCUCUCUGGACCUCCUCAGGCUCCUGCAUACACUCUGGCACAAACACAUACAUACAAAAUAAAUAAGUACUGUUUUCUCUCUC
This is a non-coding RNA of Peromyscus maniculatus bairdii (prairie deer mouse), 672 nucleotides long. The record is from RefSeq and is a predicted model, not a curated record. NCBI's taxonomy places the organism in Eukaryota, Metazoa, Chordata, Mammalia, Rodentia, Cricetidae.